GACGAACGCUGGCGGCGUGCUUAACACAUGCAAGUCGAACGGAAAGGCCCUGCUCUUGUGGGGUGCUCGAGUGGCGAACGGGUGAGUAACACGUGUGUAACCUGCCCUUGACUUUGGGAUAACUUCUGGAGACAGGGGCUAAUAUCGGAUAGGAGCUCUUGCUGCAUGGUGGGGGAUGGAAAGAUACGGCGGUUGGGGCUGGUCUGGAGGCUUAUGAGCUUGUUUGUGGAGUUGGCGAUUACAAAGCCUGUGAGGGAUAGCCCGCCUGAGAGGGUGACCGGAGACAUUGGGACUGAGGGACGCCCCAGACGCCAACGGGAGGCAGCAGUGGGGAGUAUGGCACAGUGGGCGGACGUCAGAGGUAGCAACGUCGGGUGCGUGAAGACGUGCUUCGGGUUGUAAACAGAUUUCUCAUUUGACGAGGCGGGAGUGACGGUAAUGGGUAAAGAAGCACCGGCUAACUACGUG
This 468-nucleotide ribosomal RNA is filed under the name uncultured bacterium. Its description in RNAcentral is "partial 16S ribosomal RNA". It matches the Rfam family "Bacterial small subunit ribosomal RNA", at positions 28 to 507 of the family's 1533-position model. The record is from RNAcentral.